Molecule: ribosomal RNA, 404 nt
Filed under: Actinomycetes bacterium
Lineage: Bacteria; Bacillati; Actinomycetota; Actinomycetes
Description: Actinobacteria bacterium partial 16S ribosomal RNA
Rfam family: Bacterial small subunit ribosomal RNA
Source: RNAcentral
UGGGGAAUAUUGGACAAUGGGCGCAAGCCUGAUCCAGCCAUGCCGCGUGAGUGAUGAAGGCCCUAGGGUUGUAAAGCUCUUUCACCGGUGAAGAUAAUGACGGUAACCGGAGAAGAAGCCCCGGCUAACUUCGUGCCAGCAGCCGUGGUAAUACGAAGGGGGCUAGCGUUGUUCGGAUUUACUGGGCGUAAAGCGCACGUAGGCGGACUUUUAAGUCAGGGGUGAAAUCCCGGGGCUCAACCCCGGAACUGCCUUUGAUACUGGAAGUCUUGAGUAUGGUAGAGGUGAGUGGAAUUCCGAGUGUAGAAGUGAAAUUCGUAGAUAUUCGGGGGAACACCAGUGGCGAAGGCGGCUCACUGGACCAUUACUGACGCUGAGGUGCGAAAGCGUGGGGAGCAAACAGG